GACGAACGCUGGCGGCGUGCUUAACACAUGCAAGUCGAACGGAAAGGCCCUGCUUUUGUGGGGUGCUCGAGUGGCGAACGGGUGAGUAACACGUGAGUAACCUGCCCUUGACUUUGGGAUAACUUCAGGAAACUGGGGCUAAUACCGGAUAGGAGCUCCUGCUGCAUGGUGGGGGUUGGAAAGUUUCGGCGGUUGGGGAUGGACUCGCGGCUUAUCAGCUUGUUGGUGGGGUAGUGGCUUACCAAGUCUUUGACGGGUAGCCGGCCUGAGAGGGUGACCGGCCACAUUGGGACUGAGAUACGGCCCAGUCUCCUACGGGAGGCAGCAGGGGGGAAUAUGGCACAAUGGGCGGAAGCCUGAUGCAGCAACGCCGCGUGCGUGAUGACGUCCUUCGGGUUGUAAACCGCUUUCGCCUGUGACGAAGCGUGAGUGACGGUAAUGGGUAAAGAAGCACCGGCUAACUACGUG
This 468-nucleotide ribosomal RNA is filed under the name uncultured bacterium. RNAcentral describes it as "partial 16S ribosomal RNA". It matches the Rfam family "Bacterial small subunit ribosomal RNA", at positions 28 to 507 of the family's 1533-position model. The record is from RNAcentral.